GAGGCACUGCCUGCCCAGUGACAAACGUUCAACGGCCGCGGUAUCCUGACCGUGCAAAGGUAGCAUAAUCACUUGUUCCUUAAUUGGGGACUGGAAUGAAUGGCCUCACGAGGAUUCAACUGUCUCUUACCUCUAAUCAGUGAAAUUGACCUCCCCGUGAAGAGGCGGGGAUACAACAACAAGACGAGAAGACCCUAUGGAGCUUUAAUUUUCUGUCUUAACUACUAAAUAACUAACCCUACUGGGAUAAAAAAAGAGAAAUAAGCCAGUAAUUUCGGUUGGGGUGACCUCGGAGAAUAAGACAACCUCCGAAUGAUUUUAACCAAGACAAACAAGUCAAAGUAUUAAAAAUCAAAUUGACCCAAUUCAUUUGAUCAACGGACCAAGUUACCCUAGGGAUAACAGCGCAAUCCUAUUCAAGAGUUCAUAUCGACAAUUAGGGUUUACGACCUCGAUGUUGGAUCAGGACAUCCCAAUGGUGCAGCAGCUAUUAAUGGUUCGUUUGUUCAACGAUUAAAGUCCUACGUGAUCUG
This 533-nucleotide ribosomal RNA is filed under the name Microtus thomasi (Thomas's pine vole). RNAcentral describes it as "partial 16S ribosomal RNA". It matches the Rfam family "Bacterial large subunit ribosomal RNA", at positions 1849 to 2607 of the family's 2925-position model. The record is from RNAcentral. Lineage: Eukaryota; Metazoa; Chordata; Mammalia; Rodentia; Cricetidae.